GUCGAGCGGAUGAAAAGGAGCUUGCUCCUUGGAUUCAACGGCGGACGGGUGAGUAACACGUGGGCAACCUGCCUGUAAGACUGGGAUAACUUCGGGAAACCGGAGCUAAUACCGGAUAACUCUUCGAACCUCAUGGUUCGAAGAUAAAAGAUGGUUUCGGCUAUCACUUACAGAUGGGCCCGCGGCGCAUUAGCUAGUUGGUGAGGUAACGGCUCACCAAGGCGACGAUGCGUAGCCGACCUGAGAGGGUGAUCGGCCACACUGGGACUGAGACACGGCCCAGACUCCUACGGGAGGCAGCAGUAGGGAAUCUUCCGCAAUGGACGAAAGUCUGACGGAGCAACGCCGCGUGAGCGAUGAAGGCCUUCGGGUCGUAAAGCUCUGUUGUUAGGGAAGAACAAGUACCAGUUAACUGCUGGUACCAUGACGGUACCUAACCAGAAAGCCACGGCUAACUACGUGCCAGCAGCCGCGGUAAUACGUAGGUGGCAAGCGUUGUCCGGAUUUAUUGGGCGUAAAGCGCGCGCAGGCGGUUCUUUAAGUCUGAUGUGAAAGCCCCCGGCUCAACCGGGGAGGGUCAUUGGAAACUGGGGAACUUGAGUGCAGAAGAGGAGAGCGGAAUUCCACGUGUAGCGGUGAAAUGCGUAGAGAUGUGGAGGAACACCAGUGGCGAAGG
Molecule: ribosomal RNA, 676 nt
Filed under: uncultured bacterium
Lineage: Bacteria
Description: bacterial SSU rRNA
Rfam family: Bacterial small subunit ribosomal RNA
Source: RNAcentral